UUUAGGGCGGGAGUGACGUCUUGUCUCCUGGAGAGGCCACGGGGUCCGUAUUUACUCAGGGCCGAACCGCCAGCUUUCUUCGUGGCCAUCUUAACCCUUGAUGGAAGGCUGAGGACCAGACUCUCGGUGCUGGCCGAAGUCUCCGAGUCCAGGUUCUCCUCGUCAGAGCCCCGAGGGUCCAGCUCUGGCAGCCGGUUUCAAACGUCCUGGGCAGGAACCACAGGAUAAAAUGCAUCUGCUGGGCACCCAGCCCCCAUGCCUAGAGGAAGAGAGAGAUAGAAACAUCAAUGAUGAGAACCAUGGAUCGGCUGCCUCCUGCACGCCCCCUACUGGGGAUUGAGCCUGCAACCUGGGUAUGUGCCCUGACCGGGAAUUGAACCCUGGACCCUUCAGUCUACAAGCCAACAAUCUAUCCACUGAGCCAAACCAGCCAGGGCUCAGAUGCUUUGGAUUGUAACACAGUUCUGCAGUGUGUCCAGCCCCUAAUAAGACCUCACAGACAUUUUUCAGAGAAAUUUAAAUAAAG
Molecule: long non-coding RNA, 526 nt
Organism: Eptesicus fuscus (big brown bat)
Lineage: Eukaryota; Metazoa; Chordata; Mammalia; Chiroptera; Vespertilionidae
Exons: 4
Source: RefSeq, a predicted model, not a curated record